RNAcentral lists this transfer RNA (65 nucleotides) under Cavia porcellus (domestic guinea pig). It matches the Rfam family "tRNA". Rfam says of the family: Transfer RNA (tRNA) molecules are approximately 80 nucleotides in length. Their secondary structure includes four short double-helical elements and three loops (D, anti-codon, and T loops). Further hydrogen bonds mediate the characteristic L-shaped molecular structure. tRNAs have two regions of fundamental functional importance: the anti-codon, which is responsible for specific mRNA codon recognition, and the 3' end, to which the tRNAs corresponding amino acid is attached (by aminoacyl-tRNA synthetases). tRNAs cope with the degeneracy of the genetic code in two manners: having more than one tRNA (with a specific anti-codon) for a particular amino acid; and 'wobble' base-pairing, i.e. permitting non-standard base-pairing at the 3rd anti-codon position. Lineage: Eukaryota; Metazoa; Chordata; Mammalia; Rodentia; Caviidae. The record is from Rfam by way of RNAcentral.
GGUAUGGCCCAGUAGUGUGGCACCUGCUUGGCAAGCACAAGGUCCUGAGUUCGAUUCCCAGUACC